GGAGUCGGCCAGACAGUCGCUUCGCCGCCUUGGCGGUGGGGAGGAAAGUCCGGGCUCCAUAGGGCAGAGUGCCAGGUAACCCCUGGGGGGCGUGAGCCUACGGAAAGUGCAACAGAGAGCAUACCGCCUACGUCCGCUCACGCGGGCCGGUAAGGGUGAAAUGGUGCGGUAAGAGCGCACCGCGUCGGUGGCAACAUUCGGCGGCAAGGUAAACCCCACUCGGAGCAAGGCCAAAUAGGGGAGCAAUGGUGCGGCCCGCACCGUUCCCGGGUAGGCUGCUUGAGGCAUGCGGUGACGUAUGUCCCAGAUGAAUGACUGUUCUCGACAGAACCCGGCUUAUCGGCCGACUCCUUCU
This is a non-coding RNA of Thiotrichales bacterium SG8_50, 355 nucleotides long. Lineage: Bacteria; Pseudomonadati; Pseudomonadota; Gammaproteobacteria; Thiotrichales. The record is from Rfam.